This 368-nucleotide transfer-messenger RNA is filed under the name Eubacteriales. Its description in RNAcentral is "CAG-390 sp902803255 Standard tmRNA". It matches the Rfam family "transfer-messenger RNA". From Rfam's summary of the family: Bacterial tmRNA, also known as 10Sa RNA or SsrA, is named for its dual tRNA and mRNA-like properties. Its role is to liberate the mRNA from a stalled ribosome. RNAcentral also lists the same sequence under 1 other name. Lineage: Bacteria; Bacillati; Bacillota; Clostridia. The record is from RNAcentral.
GGGGGCGUAAAGGUUUCGACGGGGAUCUCGGGAUGUAUCAAGCGGGCAGAGCCGGGCAGCUCUUUAAACUGUUCAACCUAAAAUUAAACGCAGAUAACACUGCUCUUGCUGCCUGAAUAAGGCGGUGACGCGGCCCUGAGGGGCCGCCCGUCGGCCCGGGAUCUACCGUUGUUCCGGAUACCGGCGUCGAUUAAGCGGUAACGUGCACCGGCCUUUAUCCUUUGAACCGGUCAUGAAUAAAAAGGAUACCUGCUGACGGUCUCCGGCGGUCGCCGCCGUCAGGGGGAAUCAUUCGCGGCCGCCUGCGCCCGGAGAAAGAUACGUUGAAAGGUUUUCGGACGAGGGUUCGAUUCCCUCCGCCUCCACCA